Molecule: transfer RNA, 76 nt
Filed under: Selenomonadaceae bacterium
Lineage: Bacteria; Bacillati; Bacillota; Negativicutes; Selenomonadales; Selenomonadaceae
Description: tRNA-Ala
Rfam family: tRNA
About the family: Transfer RNA (tRNA) molecules are approximately 80 nucleotides in length. Their secondary structure includes four short double-helical elements and three loops (D, anti-codon, and T loops).
Source: RNAcentral
GGGGGCGUAGCUCAGCUGGGAGAGCGCUUGCAUGGCAUGCAAGAGGUCGCGGGUUCGAUCCCCACCGUCUCCACCA